Molecule: long non-coding RNA, 92 nt
Organism: Sinocyclocheilus anshuiensis
Lineage: Eukaryota; Metazoa; Chordata; Actinopteri; Cypriniformes; Cyprinidae
Exons: 2
Source: RefSeq, a predicted model, not a curated record
CAGGAAUAUGGCGGGCAAGACACAAGAAUAAUCCUAGGGCUAGCGAAGGUCAACGAACGGCGAACAGAGUCAAAAGGGGCAAGACUAAAGGG